AACCAACAGGUACGACGCUGAAGAAUCAGUACAAGGUGGACCAGGUUGUCUGGAGAAUACGGACUUGGAUUAAUCGGUCAAGGAAUCGGAAAGACCUGGAGGGAGCUGCCAAAAGUUUCAUAAACUAAGGAAUGUUUUGCCUUGUGUUCCCCAAGAAGGUGACACAGCCAAUACCACAGAAUCAACAUACCAUAGCCACCUGCGAGCCAAGGCCAACGACAAACUCUAAGGCACAGAACCCCCCAAAAGGCAUGGCAUCCUGCACAAAUGAGUUAUGGAUUCUAUUAACCUGCUCAACCUGAAGACAAGUCAAAUGGAAGCAUUCAC
This is a long non-coding RNA of Grus americana (Whooping crane), 327 nucleotides long. RefSeq lists it as uncharacterized. Lineage: Eukaryota; Metazoa; Chordata; Aves; Gruiformes; Gruidae. The transcript has 3 exons. The record is from RefSeq and is a predicted model, not a curated record.